GGUGUGAAAGGCAUGAGGACACUGGAGCCCCUCUCAAACCUAUCCUCUCUUGUCAGACUAGAAUUGUUGCAUUGCGGACAGGAUCUAAAAUGUCAGGGCUUGUGGUCUCUCCUUACCACCGGGGGCCAGCUCAACAAAUUAGAGGUCAAGGACAGCCCUAGAUUCUUUGUUGAUUGGGAUCCCAAUCCCAGACGGGCUUUGGAGGAUGCUGAGGGAGGUGAAGAGCAGCAGACACAGCUUGUUUCAUCCACACUGCGUGAGCUCGAGAUAGAGGUCAUGUCAGGGCUUCUUGCUGCACCCGUCUGCAGAUUCCUCUCUUCCUCCCUCACCAAGCUGCGACUUUGGGAGCUUUCGCGUGAAGGGAUGAAGCGGUUCACCAAGGAGCAAGAGGACGCCCUUCAACUCCUCUCCUCCCUCCAAACACUAGAGUUUUUGCAUUUCGAGGACCUUCAACAACUCCCUGCAGUGCUGCGUAACCUUACCAGCCUCAAGAUAUUAUCAGUCAGCUUAUGUACAGCCAUCUCGUCGUUGCCCAACGAUGCCCUCCCUGAUUCACUCGAAAUGCUAGAUGUCUAUGACUGCAGCGAGGAGCUAAAAGAGACGUGCAGGGGGUUAGUGGGAACCAUCCCCAAAAUCAUAAUAGACAGAGAAACAUACUGAUCCAAGGACAAUGCCUUGGAGUUCCCUUGUACAUUCUUCUACCCUUGUAGAGGUCUUCCCUUCCCAUUCAAACACAUGCAUGACACACGGGCCUUUUGGCUGCGGUCUUCCUUCCUGUACGUAAAUCUGGUGUUUGUUCGAUCUUAUUGGCUUCUUCAUAUUUUGCAUUUAAAUUUGGAUUAUUGUUAUUCAUCAAGACGUGGCAGUCUACUCCCCUAUUUUGGGUGUCACGAUCAAAAUAGCAGUAGGACAUCAAGCUACUGAUAUUAAGGUGUUCUUAUGUUUGUUUGGUGGGCUUUCAAGCCACUUGUGUUUGCAUUUUGUC
This is a long non-coding RNA of Triticum aestivum (bread wheat), 985 nucleotides long. RefSeq lists it as uncharacterized. The transcript is spliced from 4 exons. NCBI's taxonomy places the organism in Eukaryota, Viridiplantae, Streptophyta, Magnoliopsida, Poales, Poaceae. The record is from RefSeq and is a predicted model, not a curated record.